GAUGAACGCUGGCGGCGUGCCUCAUACAUGCAAGUCGAACGCUGGCGCUCUAGCUUGCUAGAUCGACGGAGUGGCGAACGGGUGAGUAAUACAUAAGCAACCUACCCACGAAGACUGGGAUAAUCUCUGGAAACGGGGACUAAUACCGGAUAGGUAAUCGGAAGGCAUCUUCUGGUUAUUAAAGGUUAAAAACCCUGGUGGAUGGGCUUAUGGCGCAUUAGUGAGGUGGUGAGGUAACGGCCCACCAAGACGAUGAUGCGUAGCCGGCCUGAGAGGGUGAACGGCUACAUUGGGACUGAGACACGGACCAGACUCCUACGGGAGGCAGCAGUAGGGAAGAUUCGGCAAUGGGGGCAACCCUGACCGAGCAACGCCGCGGGAGUGAAGACUGCCUUCGGGUUGUAAAGCUCUGUUGUAAGAGAAGAACGGUAGAUAGAGAAUAUCUAAGUGACGGUACCUAACCAGAAAGCCACGGCUAACUACGUG
Molecule: ribosomal RNA, 486 nt
Filed under: uncultured bacterium
Lineage: Bacteria
Description: partial 16S ribosomal RNA
Rfam family: Bacterial small subunit ribosomal RNA
Source: RNAcentral